CCCCCAUGGCCAUAGCCCACCCCACUCCCCGAAAGCUGAUCCUAAAUACCUUCCCCGAGGCUUUCAAAGGAACCCAGACACCAGUUCAGCAGCCCGCAGCUCACGCAACAGGCGGAGCCUUGGGGCUCCAGCGACGGCGGGCUCUCGGCACCAGAGCAUGCGGACGCCGCAAGCCAGGCGCCCAGCAGCACAGAAAGUGCCCUGCGGCCGUAGACCCUCGGGGUCGUGCACCCGCGACCUGGACCACAGGGGACUGUGGCAGCAAAAGUCUUGCCUCCUCGCCUGUGGAAAAGGAUCCAAAGCAUUGGUUUACACUGCUAUUUACAAGCAACUGAAGAAGGUAAUCAUGUGAAGCCAAUGAAAUAAUAAACAGGACCACUUCGGAUGACCCAUAAGGCAGAUCUGCUCCCCAAAAGUUUACUCUUGAAUGUUGACGAAGGUUGAGCUAGGCAAAAUGGUAAAUUCACACACACGGUAUGUAGCCCCUUCCCCAACCCCAGUCUCCAUUACCAGGGGCAAGUUGUAACCUAACUGCCUCCUUUUACCCACACACCCAUCUCCUGCCCAGUCUUUAUGCCUGGUGAUAUGACACCCCAUUCCCUCUUAAUUAACUGUGCUUAUAGGGAAGCAUCUGGAUACGCUAUGCAUUUAAUCUGUGAGGAGUCGAUCAUUUACUCAUCAUUGACAGUAAUGCUCAUUCCUGUGUCAUUUCAGAGGACUUCUGGAGUGGAUGGAGACACAUGCCACCAAUAGAUGCAUUUCAGUCUGUCUUCCGGGCCUCCUUUAGAGGUCUCCCUCUCUUACCCACCUGUCACACGCCCAUGUCUUCCACAGCCAAACCUGUCCCCAACUUUUUGUUCUCACUAAAGUCCAAAUGACAGAAAUUUAGCUGGAUUAGUACUUACCUUCGCCUUGAAGGAAAGGGAAGUGCUCAUUAGCUUCUUACAUUGGAACAGGUCUGCAGGUGAAAAUGAAGCUGUGCUCAUCUCUGGCAGGAAGGUUGGGCAUGAGGUGUCUAGUCCUAAUGAGCAGCGUUUAUUUGGUGGGUGCCUCCCACUUGCCACUUUCUACACAGCCACCUGAGUAUCACUCCAGUUAGUCUGAGCAUAUGAAACACAUGCAACUCCCUAGACCCACCAUGCUUUUUCAUGACUCUGAACACACAGCAGUGCCUCCUCCGCUAAGAACACAGUUCCCCACUACCAAGCUUUGCUUUGCCCAACAGACCCCUUCCCCUUAGGACGAGAUUCAGUGGAUAAUGACAUCAUAAUCAAUCAUGACCCUCUGGGAAGCCGCCUCUCUCAUCCUGGGUUGUAUGUCUCCUCUCCACACUCCCUCAGCACCCUUUGCCUCCCUCUUUCAUAGAAUCUACCAUACGAGAUUUUAACUGUUUAUCUUCCACUCGACGAUGAACUCCUUGAAGACUGAAUUUCUAGGACCUUUUGUUGGAUCUGCACAUUUGUGAAGUGAAUUACUGAAGGCUGCCCAGUUUCAUCUGCUCCUAGUCAAAACCUAAAUCCCUUAUUUCUAUGCUAUUUUUUGUCAGGUAAAAAUAAAACAUGUAAACCAUCAUAUCGCUGUCUUUGCUUGGCUGCCAGGAAGCUCAGAACUAAAUUUACGUUAAAUUAAAUUUGGUUCUCAACCAGCUAGAAUGUUUUUAUUUCAGAUUAUUGCUACAAUGAUCAUGCUCUUUUCACAAAAUUAUUGUAUGCUCACUCUAACUGCC
This is a long non-coding RNA of Cercocebus atys (sooty mangabey), 1726 nucleotides long. Lineage: Eukaryota; Metazoa; Chordata; Mammalia; Primates; Cercopithecidae. The record is from Ensembl.